AUUUGAGAUGGCCUCUCGCCCUAUUCAGUGUAACAGCUGUGGUAGUGGGUUUGGUCGCUCGCAUUUAAAUUGGAAGGGUAAUGGUGGACCGCACUUCUCCCUUAGUAGGACGUUGCGACCUGUCAAAUAAUAUCCUAAGUAUUUGGCUAAUUUGUCUGUUUUUAGGCAGUACUGAAAGGUAUUUCCUUUAACAGUUUUAGCCGUUUAGAUACUGGAUAUAAUUGACAGUAACGAAUCAUGGUGUUGAGCCACUUACUUUGUAAGUGUCCUUUAUGGCUGUUUGCAAGUGGGUUGGUUAAUUAGUUUUAGUCGGAUUUCGGUCCGUCUAACUAUUCCGCCUACUGUUGGUAAACUGUUCCUUGGACAGUGCUUAUAACACCGGUCGGCAGCGAUUCAGGUUCAGGCUCUUAUCCGACCCGUCUUGAAACACGGACCAAGGAGUUUAGCGUGUACGCAAGUCAUUGGGUGUAUAAAACCCAAAGGCGCA
Molecule: ribosomal RNA, 487 nt
Filed under: Triatoma platensis
Lineage: Eukaryota; Metazoa; Arthropoda; Insecta; Hemiptera; Reduviidae
Description: eukaryotic LSU rRNA
Rfam family: Eukaryotic large subunit ribosomal RNA
Source: RNAcentral